UACGUAGGGUGCGAGCGUUGUCCGGAAUUAUUGGGCGUAAAGAGCUCGUAGGUGGUUUGUCGCGUUGUCCGUGAAAACUCACAACUCAAUUGUGGGCGUGCGGGCGAUACGGGCAGACUGGAGUACUGCAGGGGAGACUGGAAUUCCUGGUGUAGCGGUGGAAUGCGCAGAUAUCAGGAGGAACACCGGGGGCGAAGGCGGGUCUCUGGGCAGUAACUGACGCUGAGGAGCGAAAGCGUGGGGAGCGAACAGG
RNAcentral lists this ribosomal RNA (253 nucleotides) under uncultured bacterium. Its description in RNAcentral is "partial 16S ribosomal RNA". It matches the Rfam family "Bacterial small subunit ribosomal RNA", at positions 524 to 776 of the family's 1533-position model. The record is from RNAcentral.